ACUGAUGUUUAUUCCGGUAAGGCCACACCCGUUCCCAUUCCGAACACGGCAGUUAAGCUUACCAGGGUUGAUGGUAGUAACACCCAAUUCGGUGUUGUCAGAGUAGAUCGAUGUCAGUC
RNAcentral lists this ribosomal RNA (119 nucleotides) under Elusimicrobiaceae bacterium. Lineage: Bacteria; Pseudomonadati; Elusimicrobiota; Elusimicrobia; Elusimicrobiales; Elusimicrobiaceae. The record is from RNAcentral.